UUGGAAAUUACGUUGUUCACUGCCA
RNAcentral lists this non-coding RNA (25 nucleotides) under Mus musculus (house mouse). The record is from RNAcentral. Lineage: Eukaryota; Metazoa; Chordata; Mammalia; Rodentia; Muridae.